CCUACGGGAGGCAGCAGUGAGGAAUAUUGGUCAAUGGCCGCAAGUCUGAACCAGCCAAGCCGCGUGCAGGACGACGGCUCUAUGCGUUGUAAACUGCUUUUGUCCGGGGACAAACGCAGACACGAGUGCCUGACUGAGAGUACCGUAAGAAAAAGCAUCGGCUAACUCCGUGCCAGCAGCCGCGGUAAUACGGAGGAUUCGAGCGUUAUCCGGAUUUAUUGGGUUUAAAGGGUGCGUAGGCGGACGGGUAAGUUAGCGGUAAAAUCCCGGGGCUCAACCUCGGACUUGCCUUUGAUACUGUCUGUCUUGAGAGGAGGUGCGGUAUGCGGAAGGGGUGGUGUAGCGGUGAAAUGCUUAGAGAGUAUGCAGAACACCGAUUGCGAAGGCAGCAUACCGGGGGACUUCUGACGCUGAGGCACGAAAGCGUGGGUAGCGAACAGGAUUAGAUACCCCAGUAGUC
This 460-nucleotide ribosomal RNA is filed under the name uncultured bacterium. RNAcentral describes it as "partial 16S ribosomal RNA". It matches the Rfam family "Bacterial small subunit ribosomal RNA", at positions 338 to 795 of the family's 1533-position model. The record is from RNAcentral.